This 51-nucleotide ribosomal RNA is filed under the name Saccharum hybrid cultivar. Its description in RNAcentral is "partial 18S rRNA". The record is from RNAcentral. Lineage: Eukaryota; Viridiplantae; Streptophyta; Magnoliopsida; Poales; Poaceae.
UUGAAGUAAAGUUUUGUACAAGUUUCCGUAGGUGAACUGCGAAGAUCAUGU